This 1962-nucleotide small RNA is filed under the name Pan troglodytes (chimpanzee). Its description in RNAcentral is "retained intron". The record is from RNAcentral. Lineage: Eukaryota; Metazoa; Chordata; Mammalia; Primates; Hominidae.
AAAAAAAAAAGUAGCCGGGAGUGGUGACCUCUUCUGUGGUCCCAGCUACUUGGGAGGCUGAGGCGGGAGGAUCGCUUAAGCCCAGCCGGUUGGGGCUGCAGUGAACCAAGAUCAAGCUGCUUCUCUCCUGCCUGGGCAUUAGAGUGAGACCCUGGCUGAUAGUAAAAUAAAUAAAUAGAAGCUAAUCUAGAAGCUGAUGCUGGCCCUGCCCUUGGUGCUCACCACGGACCUGGCAGGCCUGGCGCCUCUCCUGUGCGUGGGGCGGCCUCACCCCAUGACUGGCGCGCUCUUUUCCAGGAUCAUCCAGCAGCUCGUCAACGGCAUCAUCACGCCCGCCACCAUCCCCAGCCUGGGCCCCUGGGGAGUCCUGCACUCAAACCCUAUGGACUACGCCUGGGGGGCCAACGGCCUGGACGCCAUCAUCACACAGGUACAGCGUGGCCAUGGCCCAGAGUGCCUGCUGGGGGAGGGCUGGGCUGCCCACCCCUGGGAGCUGCCCCACUGCCUGGACCCACGAAGCCCCACAGAGGUCAAAGGGGAUGCGGGCACAGCCUCCGCGCUCUGGCGGGCACGGGGGCAGCUCCGGCCUUCCUCCUGCCGUUUCUGAGUCUUGGCGACUUCGGGGGUUCUCCAGUGCUCACGCGGGACGUUGUCGCAAAACCGCGGGGGGGACUCGCCCACAGCCACACGGUCAGGAGGCCACGCGGUCCCUCUUCCCGAGAGGUCGUGCCCUGACCUGCUUCCGAGCGCCACCCGUCUCAGCCUUGCUGAGGAGCCCUUGGAGCAUUUUGUCACUGGCAGGACCCUCACAGUAGCCCACCAGCCGGAGCGCGGCCCCCCCAUUCCGCCGUCAGGGGACCCAGGAGCCGGGGGGGCUGCGUGGGCUCCACAGUGACCUCCGACCCGGGGCGGGCUCCAAGGGGCCCAGGGCCCAGGACAAACGCGGCCUCGGUGCUUUUGCAGGUCCUGCAGCCUCACGUUUCAGAGCCCCGGGCCGGGCCCCCGAGGAGCUCCCGGCACUCUCGCCUCUUGUCUUUCAGCUCCUCAAUCAGUUUGAAAACACAGGCCCCCCACCGGCAGAUAAAGAGAAAAUCCAGGCCCUUCCCACCGUCCCCGUCACUGAGGAGCACGUAGGCUCCGGGCUCGAGUGCCCUGUGUGCAAGGACGACUACGCGCUGGGUGAGCGUGUGCGGCAGCUGCCCUGCAACCACCUGUUCCACGACGGCUGCAUCGUGCCCUGGCUGGAGCAGCACGACAGCUGCCCCGUCUGCCGAAAAAGCCUCACGGGACAGAACACGGCCACGAACCCCCCUGGCCUCACCGGGGUGAGCUUCUCCUCCUCGUCCUCAUCAUCCUCCUCCAGCUCACCCAGCAACGAGAACGCCACGAGCAACUCGUGAGCCCAUGUCGGCCGCCGGGAAAGCACGGGGCCUUUCCCACCCACCCUCAGCCAGCGCCACGCUCGGCUGGUCAGCGCUGCAGGUCCCGCCUGUUCCAGGGCAGGACCCGGGCCCGGCCCGCCGGCCCCCUGGCUCGGGAAGGCGUGGGCCACAUGGUCCCCUCUGGGGCGUCCCCAGCCUCCCCGUCCUCUGUCUAACCUCGCCCUCUAAACGUUCAGCGGUGGAAAGAUUUUUAUAAUUUUAAAUUAUUACUGCUUUGAAAUAAACGGACGUUUGAGCUCACGUGGCGGCCAUGCAUGGUUUGUGGCGGAAGACGGGGCCCAGUGGCUCCCCCAGCGCUGAAACACGGGGCUCAGCGGCUCCCCCAGUGCUGCAGGUGCCGCCAGGACGGGCCACGUGGGCCCCCAGCCUCCCCCUCGGCCGCCUCCACGACCCAGAGUAGGGGGGCUCGGGACCAUGAGGAUGACCAGCAAAAUUCAAGAACAAAACUGCUCCAACAGACUUUUUUAAAAGAAAAAAUAUGUGUAUCUUGAAAGCUAUUUAAAAUACACUACUUACAAAG